CCUACGGGAGGCAGCAGUAGGGAAUUUUGCGCAAUGGGCGAAAGCCUGACGCAGCAACGCCGCGUGAUUGAUUAAGCCCUUCGGGGUGUAAAGAUCUGUCAGUGGGGACGAAACUUGACGGUACCCACAGAGGAAGCACCGGCUAACACCGUGCCAGCAGCCGCGGUAAUACGGAGGGUGCAAGCGUUGUGCGGAAUCAUUGGGUGGAAAAAGUUCGUAGGUGGCAUCUUAAGUCUGGUGUUAAAUGCAGAAGCUCAACUUCUGUUCGGCACUGGAUACUGGUCAGCUAGAAUGCGGUAGAGGUACAGGGAAUUCCAGGUGUAGCGGUGAAAUGCGUAGAUAUAAGGAGGAACACCGGUGGCGUAAGCGCUUUACUGGGCCGUAAUUGACGCUGAGGAACGAAAGCCUGGGUAGCAAAUGGGAUUAGAUACCCUAGUAGUC
RNAcentral lists this ribosomal RNA (441 nucleotides) under uncultured bacterium. RNAcentral describes it as "partial 16S ribosomal RNA". It matches the Rfam family "Bacterial small subunit ribosomal RNA", at positions 338 to 795 of the family's 1533-position model. The record is from RNAcentral.